UACGAAGGGUGCAAGCGUUAAUCGGAAUUACUGGGCGUAAAGGGCGCGUAGGCGGCCUGCUAAGUCGAACGUGAAAUCCCUGGGCUCAACCCAGGAACUGCGUCCGAUACUGGUUGGCUUGAAUCCGGGAGAGGGAUGUGGAAUUCCAGGUGUAGCGGUGAAAUGCGUAGAUAUCUGGAGGAACACCGGUGGCGAAGGCGACAUCCUGGACCGGCAUUGACGCUGAGGCGCGAAAGCCAGGGGAGCAAACGGG
This 253-nucleotide ribosomal RNA is filed under the name uncultured bacterium. RNAcentral describes it as "partial 16S ribosomal RNA". It matches the Rfam family "Bacterial small subunit ribosomal RNA", at positions 524 to 776 of the family's 1533-position model. The record is from RNAcentral.